This 1364-nucleotide long non-coding RNA is filed under the name Erythranthe guttata (spotted monkey flower). RNAcentral describes it as "long non-coding RNA (EGUT_LNC003803)". The record is from RNAcentral. Lineage: Eukaryota; Viridiplantae; Streptophyta; Magnoliopsida; Lamiales; Phrymaceae.
UCUUCAAAACAACAAGUUACAUAUCAUAUAUUAAUCUUAACUAUGUCCACAUAACAUAUAUAAUUAAAUGGCAACGCCGACCUUGUUAGUGGGUAAUGAGAUAUCAUCAGUUGUGGAGGAAGCCGCCUUUCCUCAGCCGCCGCAUAAUGCCUCCUCCCCUCAGUCGCCAUCAGCAAUUGUGGAGGAAGCCGCCUCCUCUCAGCCGCCGCAUAAUGCCUUCUCCCCUCAGCCGGCAUCAGCAAUCGUGGAGGAAGCCGCCUCCUCUCAGCUACAGAAAGAAGUAGAAGAACAUUUGCACCUUGUUGAAGCCCAUCGCAUUACUCUUGUCAAAGAGGAGAUCGGUGUUCGUAGUAGAUCCCAAAAAUUCGACUGGCAAAACAACUAUAGUCGAAGAGUUGCUUUGAAAAUUCAAAGUAGCUCACGUCAUUCAGUGACUGAUUCGAAGAGUGCAAUAACAGUCUAAGGACUACAAAAGUAUUUGUGAAUUAGCACUGUCAUCUAUCUCUUGGCCUUAUUAGAACAAUGCUUGUUAAUUUUCAUUUGUCCAUCUAGAAAAUAUGUCGACCCAUAAUCAUCUAGACCGUCGAUCUCUUUAAACAUUUUCACCACUUCAUCAUCGUUCGCCAAAGAACUGAACAAUCUACCUCCGUCAACUUCAGACCGAGUUUUAAUUGCUACAAGAGAAGGGCAUAUUGUUCAGUUCUUUGGCGAACGAUGAUGAAGUGAUGAAAAUGUUUAAAGAGAUCGACGGUCUAGGUGUGUCGACAUAUCUUCUAGAUGUGCAUGUGAAAAUUAACGAGCAUUGUUCUAGUAAGGCCAACACGUGGAUGGCAUAACUAAUUCACAAAUACUUCCGUAGUCCUUGGACUGUUAUUGAACUCUUCGCUACCACCUUUCUUGUGAUUUAGACAGGUGCACGUGCGUUGCACGUGUCGUAUUAGUUUCUUUUUUUCUUUUUUUCCUUCUUCUUUAUAUUUAGUAAUUUUGCAUUUAACAUGCUAUAUUUUUAUCAAAAUAAUAGUAUAAAUAUAAAUUAAGUGAAUAUUAUUGUGACAUUAAUAAUUUCUUUCAAUAAAUAGAACUUAAUUUUAUUUAAUAUUGAGAUACAUAGUUUUAUAAUUUUUGUCUAUAUUCAUUCAUGGUUCAACCAACUACCCUUGUCUUUUUCCCCCUCUUAUUGAUCGAAUUGUUCUCGUGUUUCUUCAUUAUGAUGAUAAGAUAUUGACAGAUAUUCAUUGAUAUUUUCUUAAGAAUUUUCUCUUUUUCAUCAUCUACGACCUUACGUUGUUCACCGGCUAUUCAGUGACAAAAUAGAAUUCAGUAGAUGCUUAUAGGUCUAGUCCUCAUUAGUAUUUUCUUUUUGC